UACGUAGGGGGCAAGCGUUGUCCGGAUUUAUUGGGCGUAAAGAGCGUGUAGGCGGUUUGGUAGGUCCGUUGUGAAAACUCGAGGCUCAACCUCGAGACGCCGGCGGAAACCAUCAGGCUAGAGUCCGGAAGAGGAGAGUGGAAUUCCUGGUGUAGCGGUGAAAUGCGCAGAUAUCAGGAGGAACACCGAUGGCGAAGGCAGCUCGCUGGGACGUGACUGACGCUGAGACGCGAAAGCGUGGGGAGCAAACAGG
RNAcentral lists this ribosomal RNA (253 nucleotides) under uncultured bacterium. RNAcentral's name for it is "partial 16S ribosomal RNA". It matches the Rfam family "Bacterial small subunit ribosomal RNA", at positions 524 to 776 of the family's 1533-position model. The record is from RNAcentral.